UUGCUCUCACUUCUGUAUUAUAUGUACUGAAGUUAGAGCAAUACAGAGCUUGCAUAGCCACUGUACAAGGAUGACAUACAAAUUCAUGAUGCACUCCACAAAUUU
This is a small nuclear RNA of Cricetulus griseus (Chinese hamster), 105 nucleotides long. Lineage: Eukaryota; Metazoa; Chordata; Mammalia; Rodentia; Cricetidae. The record is from Ensembl.